GACAGACAUGGACACAGACAGACAGACAGACAGACAGACAGUUUGAUAGAUAGAGAUGGACACAGACAGACAGACAGAGACAGUUUGAUAGAUAGAGAUGGACACAGACAGACAGACAGACAGACAGUUUGAUAGAUAGAGAUGGACACAGACAGACAGACAGACAGACAGUUUGAUAGAUAGAGAUGGACACAGACAGACAGACAGACAGACAACCAUUUGAUAGAUAGAGAUGGACACAGACAGACAGACAGUUUGAUAGAUAGAGAUGGACACAGACAGACAGACAGUUUGAUAGAUAGAGAUGGACACAGACAGACAGACAGUUUGAUAGAUAGAGAUGGACACAGACAGACAGACAGUCUGAUAGAUAGAUGAAUGUAAUACUAUAAUAUAUUCAUUAGUGUUUAGACAGACGUGUUGAUCACAUGACCAACAGCAAUAAUUUUUUUUUUUUUUUUUACAGAUAAAAGCAGGAGGUCAUGUGACACACAGCUAACACAGUUUGUAGUUAGUGAGGUAGUGUUAGAAACUUUAACACCCCCCCCGGUCUCCUGAGGUGGCGCUGUUAAAGUCGGGCUUCCCAAAACUCACGAGCUUUAUUUCUUUCUCUCUCCGUUUCCGACAGUCUGCCCUUCUGCAGAGUACUGACUUUAACGCAUAAAUAAACGGAUGAACGGCACCGCGGCUCUGUAAUGCUAUAAUACUAUAAUACUGUAAUACUGUAAUGUUGUGAUGUUGGAAUGUUCCUGCAGAUGAAAAAGAGGUCUGGAGGUGGAAUGUGUUUUCUUUCCCCCCGAUGUUGUGCUAAAUGUUGUGUGUUUCUAUUUAUUAAUGUUAUCAGCCUGAAUCUUUGCAUUAAACACUCAGUAAAAUGA
Long non-coding RNA from Ictalurus punctatus (channel catfish), 878 nucleotides. The record is from Ensembl. NCBI's taxonomy places the organism in Eukaryota, Metazoa, Chordata, Actinopteri, Siluriformes, Ictaluridae.